AAAAUAAAAUUUGAUUUUAAAAAAAUUUAAUUUUUAAACUAGGAUUAGAUACCCUAUUAUUUUAAGCUUAAUGUUGGUAGUAAGUAAAAAUUAUGAAAUCAUAAAAUUUUGGCGGUAUUUUAAGCUUAUUAGAGGAAUUUGCUCUAUAAUGGAUACAACGCCUAUAUCUUACUUAAUUUUGUAAUUAAAGUCAGUUUGUAUACCACUAUAUUUAAUUAUAUUGAAUAAUUAUAUUUAAGAUUUUUAUAUAAAUAUAUAUUAAGUCAAGGUGCAACAAAUAAUUA
This 284-nucleotide ribosomal RNA is filed under the name Ixodes ricinus (castor bean tick). RNAcentral's name for it is "partial small subunit ribosomal RNA". The record is from RNAcentral. Lineage: Eukaryota; Metazoa; Arthropoda; Arachnida; Ixodida; Ixodidae.